RNAcentral lists this ribosomal RNA (403 nucleotides) under uncultured bacterium. RNAcentral's name for it is "partial 16S ribosomal RNA". It matches the Rfam family "Bacterial small subunit ribosomal RNA", at positions 28 to 526 of the family's 1533-position model. The record is from RNAcentral.
GACGAACGCUGGCGGCGUGCCUAAUACAUGCAAGUCGAACGCAGUGGGGCCGGGGUCGUAACACGUGGGUAACCUCCCAUCAGAGGGGAUAACACUUGGCAACAGGUGCUAAACCGAUACUGAUGGAUGGACCCGCGGUGCAUUAGCUAGUUGGGGAGGUAACGGCGCACCAAGGCUACGAUGCAUAGCCGACCUGAGAGGGUGAUCGGCCACACGUGGACGGAGACACGGCCCAGACUCCUACGGGAGGCAGCAGUAGGGAAUAUUCGGCAAUGGACGAAAGUCUGACCGAGCAACGCCGCGUGAGUGAAGAAGGUUUUCGGAUCGUAAAACUCUGUUGUUAGAGAAGCGGUAUCCAACCAGAAAGCCACGGCUAACUACGUGCCAGCAGCCGCGGUAAUAC